RNAcentral lists this small RNA (94 nucleotides) under Deinococcus gobiensis I-0. RNAcentral describes it as "hypothetical noncoding RNA". Lineage: Bacteria; Thermotogati; Deinococcota; Deinococci; Deinococcales; Deinococcaceae. The record is from RNAcentral.
CACAACUUCAUCUAGAACUGGCUAUAGCCAAUAUCGAUAGGCGGCCAGUCGCUGAAAAAAAUUCCAUCUACGCCACAGCACUAAAUCAACUGGC